GGCAUCCCAUUUUACGGAUAUGCUUGGCGAUUGGUAAACGCAAAUAAUCAUGGGAUCUUCGCUCCGGCAAAUGGAGCUGCUGGUCCGGAUAAUGGAGCCGAGCAGUACCGAGCUAUAAGGACCUUUGUAGCUCAAACCCCGGGGGCAGUUGUGGUGUAUAAUUCCACAUAUGUCUGCAAUUACUGCUACGCUGGAACAACAUGGAUCGGUUAUGAUGAUACUCAAACAGUUUCCACCAAGGUUUCAUAUGCUAAACAAAAUGGACUUCUUGGGUACUUUGCUUGGCAUAUUGGAGCUGAUGACAACUUGGCACUAUCACGACAAGGUUAGUUAAUGGCGUGAUUCCAAGAUAAGUAAUUCCCUGUCUGAUUAGAUUUAUCAUUUAUGGAGAAAAUGACCUCAUACGCCCUGAAAAAUUGAGUCUCUAACUGUACCUAAUAAUUGGCUAUGGACCAUUGUCCAUCGAGCAUAUUUUCCUGUGCCUAGAAUUGAAUGUAUGUUUUUUGGAAUUUUUUCAUUUACAACAUUUAAGAACUACCCUUUUUAGCAGAUGAUAUUUGCAGUCCAUACAUAACAAUUCUCCGGUAUUAUACUUAUUUUCAUGUAAUAAAAUGUUAAAUUGGAGUGUCAAAAACUAUUUUUAGAGCAUAACUGUCACUUACCUUUUUUCUAACUUGUUCAUUUGUACAUACAUCCACAAUAUCUAAAAAAUUCUACAAUUCUCAUCUUUGUAAGUUGUAACUAACGCCUACUUUUUACUUGAAUGCAGCUAGCCAAGCAUGGGCAGAUGGAAGUGGUGCUGGAAGCCAUUUGACGGUGACCCUAGUAAGCCAAAAGGGAGCUGGCAUUGUUGAAUAAUGAUAUCAUUGCUAUGUGCACUCUAUCAAAAGAUGAAUAAAUGUCUUACAGUUUGAAAAUUGAUGUUCAUCAUGUGAAGACUAAUUGCAAACUGACAGGUGGCUAAAUCAAGGAUUAGGCCUGAGCCUUUUUGACUUAGGUAAAGGCGAAGAGAGCAUAAAGAAAUUGAAACAAUGAAAAGAAUAAUGUGUUCCCGUGUCAAGAUCAUCUCUUACAUUGACGGUCAUAGGAUAAUUGAUUUCCAGUAUGAAAAAUUCCAGGCUUUUCAAUUAAUUGAUUGGUCUUUAGAGGAAAUUGACAAUAGAGACACUGAUUAAUGGGAUAUAGAUUGUCAAAAAUUGUUAGUUGUUAACAAAACUUUGCCCGACUGAAGUAAGGGGUUCAUCACAAUUUGCCCAUAAAAGAUCAAAAACAAUAGAUAUCAACGGACAUUAUACUUUUCAACAUCCUAAAAGCAUGUGAAUUUUUGUUUUUUUUUUCUUCCAGUUUUGCCUCAGAAUGAUUCCUAAACAAAGGCUACUUCAGCAGCCGUUAGGCCUAACAUUUGGAAGAUGGUCAAAGCAGCAAAAAGUCUCAAAAUUUAUCAAAACUAUACACAAUUGGACGAGUUAAUAUUGGGUUUUCACUUAAAUGGGUUAUGCCUAACUUGUCCAACUUUAGAUUGGGUUGAUUUUGAGUUGGGUCAUCUUAAACCCAUAACCUAAAUAUGACCCAACAUAUCAAUUAAUACAUUGUGAUACAUAAACUCUCUCUUAUACAUUUACAUACACAAAAAGAUUUUUUUCACAUAUAUAAACACAUUUUCACACACUAAUACACUUUCACACACAGUCACUUCUUAAUUUCCUUGGAAACACAUCAUAAAUAGAAUAAUAUUUUUAUAUUGCGAAUUUUAGAUAAUAAAUUGUACACUUAAAUAUAUUAGUAAAAAAAAUUAUUUACUUUAUACUUUUUAAUACUAUUAAUUGAUUGAAACUUAUUUUUGUCACAAUUUAUUUAACACUUUUAUUAUUCAUAUCUACUUUAUUGUAAGUUGUAAUAUUCUAUGUACACGAAUACCAAUUAGGAUGUUGAGCAAUUCAAUAAAAUUUCAAUACGAAAUGGUAGAUAUUUGCCAAAUUUGGUAAAGGUAAGGGACAGUUGUUGAUUGUGAAUAAACAGAAGCAAGCAACAAUCGGAGAAAAAAAAAACAGGGAGAAAAACAAUGUACUCUUAAAAGGCAUAAUAAAUUAUUAUAGAUGUUGAACAAGUUUAAUUAAUGUUGUAAAAGUAAAAUAAGCAUGAGUUUUUAUUUCAAGUUUCUUUUAAAUAAAUAUUAAAAAAUUGAUUGAAAACAUAUAUAUGAGAAUUUUGAAUACAAAUUGGUCAAUGAAUUGUUAACAUAUAUCCAAAUGCAAGUGGUUGGGCAUAUGUGUAUUGAAUCUUGUAUUUAUUGUUUUGAAUUAUUUUUUAACAAGUUGGGUAUUGCGUGUCCAAAUAAAAAAUCCAAUCCGUCCAAUGAAUAAGUUGGACCGUUCUUAUCCAACCCAACAAAACUCAUAACCCAACUAACCCAACCCAUCCUUUAAAAUUAGUGGGCGCAUUGGACGGGUUGUUGGGUUUUGGACUUUUUCGCCAGCUCUAAUCAAAACACUUGCAUUUUUUUUUAAUUUAGCAUUUUCUAUUUUUGAAGGAAAAGAAAGUUAGCCAAAGCAGUAAAAGGAAUUUUGUUGAUCAUCUAGCAUUGGCACUUCUAUUCUUGAAUGGCCAAGGGCAUCCAUGAGGGAUGGCUGAUAUUAUUUUGACUUCAAUAGCUAUAUUGCCUCUAAAAUUUCUUACACGAUUUUCUGGCCACAUUGAUCUGUUUACAUUUUGUUUUAUUUGUUUGUUCCUUGUAUUUCCUGUAGGAUAUUUAUGUCAUGCAUCACCACAAUAGGGUUGUUAUAUCGUUGCAUUACUUUUUUGUUUUUUAAUUUCAUUGUUGGUGUCGGUAAAGCUAAUAUUUGACUGGUUCUAUAACGGACGGAGAGGCAGAGUGUAUAUUCCUUUUUAGUUCAGGCGGCCAAAGUGCAAUUACUCCCUAGUUCAAAGGGCAAAGUGUCAUUAAUCUUUUUCAAAAAUUUCCAACAUUUUAAUUUUGAAUUCACCUGCAAAAAGAGAGUGAAAAUUGAGACAUAUUUAAACAAUAGACACAAAUAUGUGAAUUUCUAAGAUCAACGAGAUGGAUUAUCAUUAAGUUUGUAUCUUUCAUAUAAGUCAUAUAUGCCGUUUAAAGUAAGGUUGUCUUCUAAUUUUUACCCAAUUUAUCUAUCAUAGAGUAUAGUGUAUUGAUAAUGACAUCUAGUAGAAACUAAAUAGUUUCAAGAACUUAAAAUUACAUAAUAAGAGAAGGUGCGUUGAUUUGGAAAUAUAUAUAUAUAUAUAUUGCCCGACCAAUAUAUGUAUGAUACUCUCCUAAACAUGGUAUUGUGGGAACAGCAUAAACAUAAGAAAAAUUGCUCUCCAUAAAUGAUAAAUGUGCUGGAGGUAAGCUUCCCUCGCUGCCAAGAUCAUUCGACUCCGUAAUUGGUCGGGCAACUUAACUGUCUUUAAUAUUUUGUGGACCAAACUGGCAGGUCCCAAGAUUGAAAAUAACAUCUGUCAUUUAAUUGAAAGUGGCUGCAAUAUUACUAAACAAAUUUCAGUGUGUAGCUACUGAGUACUGAAAGUUGUCACUAGUUUGAAUAGGCCAAUAUCUGGUACUCUUGAAGAUUGAGACAUGUAGUGGCAUGUUGUUGGCAGCUGUAGAGAUUUAAUAGUUUCAAGGAAAUGUAUAGUUCCACAAUUUUUUGCAAAUACCGCUAUGCUGGAAUAACAUGGAUUGUUGAUGAAAGUUUCAAAUGCUAACCAAAAGGGACUUUACAAAUUGGGCACUUUACCAACAAAAUUAGUUUGUAGUGUGACACGAUUUUCAAUUUCCUUUAAAAUUAAAUUUUGGCAUUAUAUAAUCACAGAUGCCCUCAAGACUUGAUCCUCAAAUCCUAUCUGACAAUUGUCUAUGAAAUGUUGUCCCUUGGAUCAAAUUUUUCCUUUGGUAGAAUUAAUUGUACUAUACUUAUUGAGAAAUUCGUGCACUCUGUCAAUUUUUUUUCAUGUCUUUAGCUCGUAAAAUAGAGUACCUUUUUCUUGACUUGUUCGUUUGUAUAGACACCCACGGUAUCUCUUAGUUUCUCAUAUCUUUCUGAUUCACAGUGGUUAAUAAGACUAAACCUAAUGCUGGUAGAAGUUUCUCCACUACUCAUAUAUAUAUAUUUUUUGUCACAACGAUAGGAUUCCUAUAACCUAAUCUAAAGGGAGGGGGAGGGGGAGGGAACUCGAUGUAAGUAGAAACUCCAUCGAAGAUAGCCACCGAAUACCGUCAGAUAUUGUGACAAAUUUUUGUCUCCACUACACAUAUGAGAGCUUACAAUUUUGAGUGAUGAUUUGUGUAUUCCACAAUAGAUAUAUUAGCAAGUUUUCUGGUGCCCAUCACAAUCAAAAGACAAAUAAAUGUCUUAGUACGCAAGUUCCACGAAAGUGACAGCUUGAAAGUUGAUUUUGAAGACAAAUUGCUAACUGACAGGUGACUAAGUACUCAAGCCUAACUCCAGGAUUAGGCCCUAAGGCUAUCUCACUUAGAAGCUCUGUUUUUAAGCUCGGACCGGACCGGCCGGUCCGACCGGUCGAACCACGAACCGGCCAAGUGUCCGGUCCGAACUAACUCUAAAAAUCGGAAGUUUUAAAACUCGGUCAAACCAUGUCAAAAAUCGGGUUUGACCGGAUUUGACCGGCAAAUAAGAACCGGGAAUUUCCACCAUGCAUCUCACUCAAGGAAAGGAAAGAGAGGGACCCACUCCUCUUGGCUCCAUAUGCUCAGCCAAUAUCCGAAAAUAACACACGAUUUUUGUAGUGGCACAUGCAUGCACAGUUGAUUACUGCUACAGUGCUUCUACAUCCCUAGCCACAACUCGCUCGCACGUCUUCAUGCAACAUCCACAUCUUCUUGCUCCCCCCUCUCUAUGCAUGUAUAUAGACUCUUUUUUUUUUUGAAGAUCAAAAUAUUUUUAAUAUUAUGUUUUGACCUCUAGGUUAUUAAAAAUUAUUAAUAUAUCUCAAAUAUUGUAUACUUUAUAAAUAUUAUCUUAAAAUUUGGUGUUAUUUUUUAAUUAAGUCCAUAAUUUUAAUUUUAAACUAGUUAAUACUCAUUAAAUAAUAUAAAUUGCUACUUAAUUGUUCUAAUUUCUUUGUAUUUUCUUGUUAAAUAUAUUUGAAACAUCAAAUACAUAUAAAUAUACAUUUAUUAGUAUUAACAUGUUAUUAGGUAUUUUACAUAUAAUAUUUUAAUUUUUAAAUAAUUUUUAUUUAUGACAUCAUCCGGUUCAACCCCAAUCGAACCCGGCUGAACCCAUUGACCCCUGACCCCUGAGCUCGACCGAAUCGAUACCCGGUCCGGUUCUGAAAACAUAGCUUAGAAGCGGAUCACAAUUUUCUCUUAGAUUGUCCACUAAUUAUGCCUCUAAAUUAGGCAAGGCCCAAGAGAGCACAGACCAAUGGAAAACUUUAAAAAAAAAAUUAAUUUCCUUGUCAAAAUCAUUUUCAGUUGACCGUAUAUGCUGGUAAAAAUAGUGCCAAAGCUUCACCGAGUAGUUAAUUUCCAGUAUGAAAAUUCCAGUGUCGUAGCUUCACUGAAUAGUUAAUUUCCAGUAUGAAAAAGUUCAGGACUUUUCAUUUAAUUGAUUGAUCUAAACAAAUUAAAUAACACCACAUCUUAGUUUGAUCCCUACUUUAUUUGCAUUGUGAAUUGAAUAAAUACCGAAUAAGGGUUCCUUUUCCUUCAAAAUUUCAAUGGCUUCCAUAACUAAGUUCAUCUUACUAUCUUUAACUCUGUGUGUUCUCCAUCUUAACUUCUGUCAUGGACAGAAUGCUGUCAAAGCAGGCUACUGGUUUCCAGAUAGUGGAAUUGCACUCUCAGACAUUGACUCCACUCUUUUCACUCAUCUAUUUUGCGCAUUUGCUGAUCUUGAUUCCCAAUCCAAUAAAGUCACCAUAUCCUCCUCAAACGCUGGCCCCUUUUCACAAUUCACCAAAACAGUUCAACUCAAAAACCCUUCAGUUAAAACCCUUCUAUCUAUUGGUGGUGGAAGUUCUAAUAGGACUGCUUUUGCUUCAAUGGCUAGUCAACCAACUUCUCGCAAAUCAUUCAUUAAUUCUUCAAUAAACUUGGCCCGAGCCAACAGUUUCCACGGUCUAGACUUGGACUGGGAAUACCCACAAUCCGCUCCUGAGAUGACAAACUUAGGCUCACUCCUGGAUGAAUGGCGAGCCGCAGUGGCAACUGAGGCCCAGAACUCAGGCAAGCCACAGCUGAUUUUAACAGCUGCAGUUUCAUUUGCAUCAAAGGUGGAUGGAUUAUAUCAAUAUCCUAUUACAUCAGUAUCCAGAAGCCUGGAUUGGAUAAAUCUUAUGGCUUAUGAUUUUUACGCUCCAGAUCGUCCAAGUACUUCUACCAGGUGUCACGCUGCAUUAAAGGACCCUUCUGGCCAAGCUAGUGGAAGUUCUGGCAUUGCAGACUGGGAAAAGGCUGGAGUCGGGGCGAAGAAGUUGGUUCUGGGCAUCCCAUUUUACGGAUAUGCUUGGCGAUUGGUAAACGCGAAUAAUCAUGGGAUCCUGGCUCCGGCAAAUGGAGCUGCUGGUCCGGAUAAUGGAGUCAAGCGGUACCAAGAUAUAAGGACCUUUGUAGCUCAAACCCCGGGGGCAGUUGUGGUGUAUAAUUCCACAUAUGUCUGCAAUUACUGCUAUGCUGGAACAACAUGGAUCGGUUAUGAUGAUAAUCAGACAGUUUCCACCAAGGUUUC
RNAcentral lists this long non-coding RNA (6710 nucleotides) under Coffea arabica (coffee). Its description in RNAcentral is "long non-coding RNA (CARA_LNC004547)". Lineage: Eukaryota; Viridiplantae; Streptophyta; Magnoliopsida; Gentianales; Rubiaceae. The record is from RNAcentral.